Sitophilus oryzae (rice weevil) is the source of this 417-nucleotide long non-coding RNA. RefSeq lists it as uncharacterized. The transcript has 2 exons. NCBI's taxonomy places the organism in Eukaryota, Metazoa, Arthropoda, Insecta, Coleoptera, Curculionidae. The record is from RefSeq and is a predicted model, not a curated record.
GUCAGUUAAUUUUGAUUUGACAGCGGACGAUUCUUUUCAUGCCAAGUGUUUAGUGAGCACGCACGUGUUGGACUAAAAUAUCUAAAAAUCCUCAAAAAAAAUGGAUAAACCCGUUGUUUUAGCUCGCGUAAUGAAGGUUUUGGGACGUACGGGAUCCCAGGGACAAUGUACACAAGUGAAAGUAGAGUUCAUUGGAGAACAAAACCGUCAAAUCAUCAGGAACGUUAAAGGACCUGUGAGGGAAGGUGAUAUCCUCACCCUUUUGGAAUCUGAACGUGAAGCUAGAAGAUUAAGAUAAAUAUUUAGGAUACGUUUUUAAUAAUUUAAGAAAUUCCGUUUAUAAGUGGAACUUGGACAACAUGAAGUGAUUAAAGCUGUUAUUUCCAGUUAAACAAAUACACUUUUUACGGUUAAUAA